This 176-nucleotide ribosomal RNA is filed under the name uncultured bacterium. RNAcentral describes it as "partial 16S ribosomal RNA". It matches the Rfam family "Bacterial small subunit ribosomal RNA", at positions 1316 to 1500 of the family's 1533-position model. The record is from RNAcentral.
CUUCAUGAAGCUGGAUUCGCUAGUAAUCGCGCAUCAGCCACGGCGCGGUGAAUACGUUCCCGGGCCUUGUACACACCGCCCGUCAAGCCAUGGGAGCCGGGGUACCUGAAGUGCGUAACCGCAAGGAGCGCCCUAGGGUAAAACUGGUGACUGGGGCUAAGUCGUAACAAGGUAUC